GCGCGGGUAGCCAAGUGGCCAAAGGCGCAGCGCUUAGGACGCUGUCUCGUAGGAGUCCGCCGGUUCGAAUCCGGUCCCGCGCA
Molecule: transfer RNA, 83 nt
Filed under: Haloferax massiliensis
Lineage: Archaea; Methanobacteriati; Methanobacteriota; Halobacteria; Halobacteriales; Haloferacaceae
Description: tRNA-Leu
Rfam family: tRNA
About the family: Transfer RNA (tRNA) molecules are approximately 80 nucleotides in length. Their secondary structure includes four short double-helical elements and three loops (D, anti-codon, and T loops).
Source: RNAcentral